GACGAACGCUGGCGGCGUGCUUAACACAUGCAAGUCGAACGGGCCUUGUCCCCUUUUUUUUUGGGGGUGGGGUUAGUGGCGAACGGGUGAGUAACACGUGAGUAACCUGCCCCUCACUUCUGGAUAACCGCUUGAAAGGGUGGCUAAUACGGGGUGUUCUGGCCUGCUCGCAUGGGUGGGUUUGGAAAGAUUCGACCGGUUUUGGUUGUUUUGGUGGGGGAUGGGCUCGCGGCCUAUCAGCUUGUUGGUGGGGUGAUGGCCUGCCAAGGCUUUGACGGGUAGCCGGCCUGAGAGGGUGGGCGGUCACACUGGGACUGAGACACGGCCCAGACUCCUACGGGAGGCAGCAGUGGGGAAUAUUGCACAAUGGGCGCAAGCCUGAUGCAGCGACGCCGCGUGAGGGAUGGAGGCCUUCGGGUUGUGAACCUCUUUCGCCAGUGAAGAAGAUCCUGCUCUUUGUGGUGGGGUUGACGGUAGCUGGGUUAAUGAAGCGCCGGCUAACUACGUG
RNAcentral lists this ribosomal RNA (508 nucleotides) under uncultured bacterium. RNAcentral describes it as "partial 16S ribosomal RNA". It matches the Rfam family "Bacterial small subunit ribosomal RNA", at positions 28 to 507 of the family's 1533-position model. The record is from RNAcentral.